AAAAACAUGGCUUAUUUGAUAAAAAUAAUAGGUCUAUUCUGCCCAUUGAUUAAAAUUAAAAGGCUGCAGUAUAUUGACUGUACAAAGGUAGCAAAAUCAUUUGUUUUUUAAUUGAAAACUGGAAUGAAAGAGUGGAUGAAAUAUAAAUUGUCUCAAUAUAAAAAUAUUGAAUUUAAAUUAAAAGUUAAAAUGCUUUUAUAUAUUUAUAAGACGAUAAGACCCUAUAGAAUUUAAUAAUGUUUAUUUUUUAAAAUUAAUAUAUUAAUAAAAUUUAAUAGAUAAAUAUAUUUUAUUGGGAGGAUAGUUAAAUAAAUUAAACUUUAAUAUUAUUGUAACAUAGAUUAAUGAAUUAAUUGAUUAUUUUUAUAAUUAUUAGAAUAAAUUACCUUAGGGAUAACAGCGUUAUAAUUUUGGAGAGUUCAUAUUGAUAAAAUUGUUUGCGACCUCGAUGUUGAAUUAUGAUAAAAGUUAAGUGGAGAAAUUUAAAUUUUUAGUCUGUUCGACUAUUAAAAUCAUACAUGAUUUGAGUUCAGAUCGGUGAAA
RNAcentral lists this ribosomal RNA (543 nucleotides) under Vespa velutina velutina. RNAcentral describes it as "partial 16S ribosomal RNA". The stretch from base 393 to 543 matches the Rfam family "Bacterial large subunit ribosomal RNA", at positions 2473 to 2624 of the family's 2925-position model. Lineage: Eukaryota; Metazoa; Arthropoda; Insecta; Hymenoptera; Vespidae. The record is from RNAcentral.